This 495-nucleotide ribosomal RNA is filed under the name uncultured bacterium. RNAcentral describes it as "partial 16S ribosomal RNA". It matches the Rfam family "Bacterial small subunit ribosomal RNA", at positions 28 to 507 of the family's 1533-position model. The record is from RNAcentral.
GACGAACGCUGGCGGCGUGCCUAAUACAUGCAAGUAGAACGCUGAAGGAGGAGCUUGCUUCUCCGGAUGAGUUGCGAACGGGUGAGUAACGCGUAGGUAACCUGCCUGGUAGCGGGGGAUAACUAUUGGAAACGAUAGCUAAUACCGCAUAAGAGUAGAUGUCGCAUGACAUUUGCUUAAAAGGUGCAACUGCACCACUACCAGAUGGACCUGCGUUGUAUUAGCUAGUUGGUGAGGUAACGGCUCACCAAGGCAACGAUACAUAGCCGACCUGAGAGGGUGAUCGGCCACACUGGGACUGAGACACGGCCCAGACUCCUACGGGAGGCAGCAGUAGGGAAUCUUCGGCAAUGGACGGAAGUCUGACCGAGCAAAGCCGCGUGAGUGAAGAAGGUUUUCGGAUCGUAAAGCUCUGUUGUAAGAGAAGAACGAGUGUGAGAGUGGAAAGUUCACACUGUGACGGUAUCUUACCAGAAAGGGACGGCUAACUACGUG